CGGUAGGGUAUUGGCCUACCGUGGCAAUGACGGGUAACGGGGAAUUAGGGUUCGAUUCCGGAGAGGGAGCCUGAGAAACGGCUACCACAUCUAAGGAAGGCAGCAGGCGCGCAAAUUACCCAAUCCUAAUACAGGGAGGUAGUGACAAGAAAUAACAAUACAGGACUUUUUGGUUUUGUAAUUGGAAUGAGUUAAGUAUAAACCCCUUUACAAGUAUCAAUUGGAGGGCAAGUCUGGUGCCAGCAGCCGCGGUAAUUCCAGCUCCAAUAGCGUAUAUUAAAGUUGUUGCAGUUAAAAAGCUCGUAGUUGGAUUUCUGUUAAUAAUUUAUAUAAAAUAUUUUGAUGAAUAUUUAUAUAAUAUUAACAUAAUUCAUAUUACUAUAUUUUUUAGUAUAUGAAAUUUUACUUUGAGAAAAUUAGAGUGCUUAAAGCAGGCAUAUGCCUUGAAUACUCCAGCAUGGAAUAAUAUUAAAGAUUUUUAUCUUUCUUAUUGGUUCUAAGAUAAGAAUAAUGAUUAAUAGGGACAGUUGGGGGCAUUUGUAUUUAACAGUCAG
Molecule: ribosomal RNA, 554 nt
Filed under: Cryptosporidium parvum
Lineage: Eukaryota; Apicomplexa; Conoidasida; Eucoccidiorida; Cryptosporidiidae
Description: SSU rRNA
Rfam family: Eukaryotic small subunit ribosomal RNA
Source: RNAcentral